CAGCCGCGGUAAUUCCAGCUCCAAUAGCAUAUAUUAAAGUUGUUGCGGUUAAACGCCCGUAGUUGGAUCAGCGGAUUUGGAGAACGGUCUGCCGAUGGGCUGUACUGUUCUCCUGUCCUAUUUUCUCUAGUUCGCUCUAGGUGCUCUUCACUGAGUGUCUAGAGUGGCUGGAACUUUUACUUUGAAAAAAUUAGAGCGCUCAAAGCAGGCGUCUCAGCCUGAAUAGUGGUGCAUGGAAUAAUGGAAUAGGACCUCAGUUCUAUUUUGUUGGUUUUCGGAACAUGAGGUAAUGAUUAAGAGGGACAGACGGGGGCAUUCGUAUUGCGACGUUAGAGGUGAAAUUCUUGGAUCGUCGCAAGACGAACUACUGCGAAAGCAUUUGCCAAGAAUGUUUUCAUUAAUCAAGGACGAUAGUUAGAGGUUCGAAGGCGAUCAGAUACCGCCCUAGUUCUAACCGUAAACGAUGUCAACCAGCGAUCCGCAGGAGUUAUUCAUGACUCUGCGGGCAGCUUCCGGGAAACCAAAGUUUUUGGAUUCCGGGGGGAGUAUGGUUGCAAAGCUGAAACUUAAAGGAAUUGACGGAAGGGCACCACCAGGAGUGGAGCCUGCGGCUUAAUUUGACUCAACGCGGGGAAACUCACCCGGCCCGGACACCGUAAGGAUUGACAGAUUGAGAGCUCUUUCUUGAUUCGGUGGGUGGUGGUGCAUGGCCGUUCUUAGUUGGUGGAGCGAUUUGUCUGGUUAAUUCCGAUAACGAACGAGACUCUAGCCUACUAAAUAGAAGGCAAAUUAUUCGUUUGCUGUACUUCUUAGAGGGACUAGGGGCGUCUAGCCUCACGAGAUUGAGCAAUAACAGGUCUGUGAUGCCCUUAGAUGUCCGGGGCCGCACGCGCGCUGCACUGAAGGAUUCAGCAAGUGUUAACCCUGGUCUGAGAAGAUCGGGUAACCUUAUGAAACUCCUUCGUGAUUGGGAUAGGGACUUGUAAUUAUUUCCCUUGAACGAGGAAUUCCUAGUAAGUGUGGGUCAUCGGCUCGCGUUGAUUACGUCCCUGCCCUUUGUA
Molecule: ribosomal RNA, 1061 nt
Filed under: uncultured eukaryote
Lineage: Eukaryota
Description: SSU rRNA
Rfam family: Eukaryotic small subunit ribosomal RNA
Source: RNAcentral